CAAACGACUCUCGGCAACGGAUAUCUCGGCUCACGCAUCGAUGAAGAACGUAGCAAAAUGCGAUACUUGGUGUGAAUUGCAGAAUCCCGUGAACCAUCGAGUUUUUGAACGCAAGUUGCGCCCGAGGCCAUUCGGCUGAGGGCACGUCUGCCUGGGCGUCACGC
RNAcentral lists this ribosomal RNA (164 nucleotides) under Gundlachia corymbosa. RNAcentral's name for it is "5.8S ribosomal RNA". It matches the Rfam family "5.8S ribosomal RNA". From Rfam's summary of the family: 5.8S ribosomal RNA (5.8S rRNA) is a component of the large subunit of the eukaryotic ribosome. It is transcribed by RNA polymerase I as part of the 45S precursor that also contains 18S and 28S rRNA. Functionally, it is thought that 5.8S rRNA may be involved in ribosome translocation. The record is from RNAcentral. Lineage: Eukaryota; Viridiplantae; Streptophyta; Magnoliopsida; Asterales; Asteraceae.